This 249-nucleotide ribosomal RNA is filed under the name uncultured bacterium. Its description in RNAcentral is "partial 16S ribosomal RNA". It matches the Rfam family "Bacterial small subunit ribosomal RNA", at positions 57 to 305 of the family's 1533-position model. The record is from RNAcentral.
GCAAGUCGAGGGGUAACGAUAUCUUCGGAUAGGCGACGACCGGCGCACGGGUGAGUAACGCGUAUGCAACCUACCCAUUACUGGAGCAUAGGCCGAAGAAAUUCGGAUUAAUACUCCAUAAUAUCAUUAGAUCUCAUGUUCUGAUGAUUAAAGCUCCGGCGGUAAUGGAUGGGCAUGCGUGACAUUAGUUUGUUGGUGAGGUAACGGCUCACCAAGACUGCGAUGUCUAGGGGGUCUGAGAGGAUGAUC